GCAUGUGUGAAAGAAAAGAAGGAGGUC
RNAcentral lists this non-coding RNA (27 nucleotides) under Homo sapiens (human). The record is from RNAcentral. Lineage: Eukaryota; Metazoa; Chordata; Mammalia; Primates; Hominidae.